This 163-nucleotide ribosomal RNA is filed under the name Blighia sapida (ackee). RNAcentral describes it as "5.8S ribosomal RNA". It matches the Rfam family "5.8S ribosomal RNA". From Rfam's summary of the family: 5.8S ribosomal RNA (5.8S rRNA) is a component of the large subunit of the eukaryotic ribosome. It is transcribed by RNA polymerase I as part of the 45S precursor that also contains 18S and 28S rRNA. Functionally, it is thought that 5.8S rRNA may be involved in ribosome translocation. RNAcentral also lists the same sequence under 4 other names. The record is from RNAcentral. Lineage: Eukaryota; Viridiplantae; Streptophyta; Magnoliopsida; Sapindales; Sapindaceae.
AUAACGACUCUCGGCAACGGAUAUCUCGGCUCUCGCAUCGAUGAAGAACGUAGCGAAAUGCGAUACUUGGUGUGAAUUGCAGAAUCCCGUGAACCAUCGAGUCUUUGAACGCAAGUUGCGCCCCAAGCCGUUAGGCCGAGGGCACGUCUGCCUGGGUGUCACG